GAUGAACGCUGGCGGCGUGCCUAAUACAUGCAAGUCGAGCGAACAGACGAGGAGCUUGCUCCUCUGACGUUAGCGGCGGACGGGUGAGUAACACGUGGAUAACCUACCUAUAAGACUGGGAUAACUUCGGGAAACCGGAGCUAAUACCGGAUAAUAUAUUGAACCGCAUGGUUCAAUAGUGAAAGACGGUUUUGCUGUCACUUAUAGAUGGAUCCGCGCCGCAUUAGCUAGUUGGUAAGGUAACGGCUUACCAAGGCGACGAUGCGUAGCCGACCUGAGAGGGUGAUCGGCCACACUGGAACUGAGACACGGUCCAGACUCCUACGGGAGGCAGCAGUAGGGAAUCUUACGCAAUGGGCGAAAGCCUGACGGAGCAAAGCCGCGUGAGUGAUGAAGGUCUUCGGAUCGUAAACCUCUGUUAUUAGGGAAGAACAAAUGUGUAAGUAACUAUGCACGUCUUGACGGUACCUAAUCAGAAAGCCACGGCUAACUACGUG
This 497-nucleotide ribosomal RNA is filed under the name uncultured bacterium. RNAcentral describes it as "partial 16S ribosomal RNA". It matches the Rfam family "Bacterial small subunit ribosomal RNA", at positions 28 to 507 of the family's 1533-position model. The record is from RNAcentral.